Molecule: long non-coding RNA, 4500 nt
Organism: Mus musculus (house mouse)
Lineage: Eukaryota; Metazoa; Chordata; Mammalia; Rodentia; Muridae
Product: predicted gene, 32914
Exons: 3
Source: RefSeq, a predicted model, not a curated record
UCUCUCUCUGUCUCUCUCUCUGUCUCUCUCUCUCUGUCUCUCUCUCUGUCUCUCUCUCCCGCCUACAAUCUCACUUUGAGAAUUGGAAAUUUGGGGAGGGUGUGGUGACAUUCUCUCACCAACCACUCCUGGCAGAUAGAGCUGAGCUUGCCCCUCCCCCUUUCCUUCAGACCUCAGACUAGAUUUAGAAGCCUCCUCAACAGAACAGCUGUCAACAGAGGGCUUUGGCCACAGGGUACCUCCUGGGCAGCUCAGAUUUCCUAGUACGCCACACUGCCUGCAGGCUUCUCACCCUCCUCUUUAUUCCUACCCAAAUGAGGCCAAGUCAUAGACAUGAUAAGAUGUGGUGGAUAAUGGAAAGGGUCCAAGCAAGGUGGGGGACUAUAGAGAGGAGCAUCUCAUACGUAUAUGCACAGGCAUCACCUGCCAAUCUGGAAAACGCACGUGCUCUGAUUGGUUAAGUGUGGAAUGGGUUCUGAGAAUCAGCUAAUAUAUUUGUUUCUUUCUAAUCUAACAUAACUAUAUUUUUAUCUGUGCAUAAUCAUAUUUAACAGUACCAUAUCAGAUAAUUCAAGUUUGGCAGAAGGAAGUUGUUCUUUCUUUAAUGUUCUCAUCACAAAGCAUUUAGUAUAGCUGCUAGACAACACAGUAAGCUGAGUCCAGAAUCACUAUUUAAAAAUCUCUGAAGGAGGCUCUUUGGUCCCAGACAUAAAAUAAUCUAGUUGUUGUCAAUGGUUUGGGCUUGCAAUGCCCCCCCCCCCACAGGCUCCUGUGUUUGCACAGCUGCUCCUCAGUGGGUGUCACAAUACUGGGGAAUUGUGGAACUUCAGCUGGCAUUAGGAAUUAGGGACUCGGGGGUGAGCCUUGAAGGUUACAGCUUUUCCCUGCUUCCCAACCCAAUCUCUGUUCCUCAGUCAGUGUCAUGUGAGAAACCAUGAGGACAGCUCCUGCCACCACAGAUAGUCCCACUUCAGCUGCCCCUGCCUUCUCCACCACGGUAGACUGAUCUUCUGAGUCAAAACAAACCACUCCUUCCUUGAGUUAUUUCUGUCAGGCAUUUGGUCACAGUGACAGGAAAACUCAAAGAGCUACCUCCCACCCCACCAUACCUGCUUCUCUUAGAGAUGCUAUCUGGGUACAUGAAGAAAGGUUCUACCCUCUGGGGCCUCGUAGUAGAAUGAAAAGAUGAAAGAUGAUGUCUGUGAGUUUGCCUGGAAUCUUCUGGAACAUCCCCAUUGUCUGCUCUGAAGUGGCUGCCCUGGGAUACAUCAACUGUAGGGCUAGUGACUCAGAGACGACAUCGCUUGCCCUGGGUCUCAUCACAAUCCAAGCAAAACUUGAGCCCAGUCAAAGUAAAAGAGGAUGCACAGAAACACCAACAGUGCCUGUGGGCCAAUUGAAGCAGGCUGCCACCCCACCCCUGAUUCCAAGGGCACAGAAGGCUCAUCCACCCUCUGUAUGGCUAGCACAUCUGAAUGUGAGGUUUCUGAUCAGUUGUCACCAGCCCUGGAGCCUCCUCAGCCACCUACCAAGCAAAAGUCUUCAUCGUGGCCAUUCCUGGACCCCCAGCUGUCUCUUCAUCCCUACGUGAUGCCUCCUGCAUUUGAAAUUGUUUUAAAAGAUACAGUUUGGGAAGUGUCAUUCUGGACAUAAACUCUUUAAAGACAAUGGACAUAUGUGUCUGGCCCAUACCUCUCUCCCCUGUGCCUAGGAUGGUACAAUCCACAGAGCAGGCACAGGGAUGAAAAUACGUUAUGUAUGCUAUAGACAUCCGUGAAGUACUGGUGGAUAUGACAGACAGCUAAAUAAAGGUGACAUCUCCUAUGUCCCUGGGGGACUCAGGCUCAGUCAUUUUGUUCCAUACUCCAAAGAGUAAACUUAGUGUUAACUGCUUCUUCUUUUCUAGUCAUUCACAUUGCCUUUCAGAGCCCGUGGGCGCCCUUCUAGGCCCCAAGUACUUUGAGAAAUGGGCUCCCACCUCGAGAAUGACAGGUUCCAGCUCUGUUCACUGGGGACAGACCCAUCCCCAGAGUCCUGUGGGUUUGUCUGGGCACCGAAACGACAAGAAGGUCUCUGUUCCUGGUGGCUUUUGUCACUUUGUUUUCUUCGUGCUUGGUGGCUCGCUCCUACCUCACAGCCAAUCACCGCACUGCCAAAUGGUGCGAAAGAUUUACCGGAAUUUCGUUUUCAAAUAAACCACAAGCUUGGAUGAGCUAAUGCUGUUCCACAUAAAAAAGCCACAAAACUGGACAAAUUCACGUUGUUUCAAGAAGAGAAACUUGUCGAAGCCAUCGGCUUUGCCUGUCUCAAAUGACUGCCCCGAGACCUACACGCAAGAGGUCCUUCCUGUAGGAGCCCAGUGCACAGAGACCAGGAAGCCUCUUUCUGUCACCAUUGCUUCCCAGCUAAAAGUGUUUCUGUCAAGGUCACAUCCUCACACCAAGCACCCACGGGUGGCAAUAUUCCAUUCCAUUCUGUCAGCACCACAGGUCUCUCUUCUACAAAUGUUGACUGCCCGUGGCACAGGCUCCAACCCAGAAAGUCCUCCAUGGAAGCUCAGCAGAAUCGCCCAGUGCAGGAACACGAGCCGGCCCUGAUCCUCAGCAGCAGAGGCAAGACAGUGUCUCGGACAGGGCUGUCAAGACCAGAGUCCUAGACUUCACUGCUUCACGACGUUGAUAUCACAAACAGAUUGUAAGCCUGCCAAGAACAUGGUUCUCUCAGCCUUAAUAUGGAGACAGCAGGAAACCAAAGGUGUCAUUGUAAGAUGAAGCCCAAGCAAAUGGAUAAGGUCCUAUAGCUCUGUGCCCUGUGCAUAGUGAGUAUUCCUAAGUGUGAACAUUAUGUGGAAUGAUGAUUAUGAUGGUGGUAGUGGUGGUGAUGGUGGUGAUGGUGUUGAUGAUGGUGCUGCUGAUGGUGGUGGUAGUGGUCAUGGUGAUGGUUGUGGUGGUAAAUUCAGGCAUGCAGCUACCCCAACUCCUCCUACAUCACUGCUAAAGCAGUGGUUCUCAGCCUUCUUAAUGUUUCAACCCAUUACGUCAGCUCCUCAUGCUGUGGUGACCACCAACCAUAAAGUUAUUCUGUUGCUACCUCAUAACAGUAAUUUCACUACUGUUAUGAACUGGAAUCUCUGACAUGCAGGAUAUCUGAUCUCUAACCCCCUAAGGGGUCAGGACCCACAGGUUGAGAACUGCUGAUCUAGUGCUAAAGGGCUAAAGGACCAGUCUGAGGAGUGUGCCCUGGACUUCUGUGGUCAGCUGAACAGAAAUCAGUCGCCACAGCAGAAGCUAAAUGAGUUCCCAGUAAGGAAUCUAAGAACAGCCCCAUCUUCUCUCCUUCCUUCCCAGCCAACGCCAGAAUAGGUGGGUUUACAAAGUUCGUGACAGAUUAGAAUCGGUGAACUUAGCUACUUGCUCUUAUAUUACAUCGUCAGGACUGGUAGAUAUCUGUGAUCUGGGGAUUGAAACUCGGCCACACGUGGGAUACGGAACUCCAGAAUUCAUUCAGCACAUGGAAUCGGUACUCUGUGAUGAAGAGAAAUUUUUGUAGCUCUAAAAAGCUGUUUCUGAUGAGUCGUAAACCUGCUUGUAUAUUCUAACACAAUUGCUAGUGGCGAAAACUAAGCUGACGGUAAAGAUGGUGGGUGGGGACAGUUUAAAAGUGCCCCCAAUCCUAAAUACUUCACAAGUUUCACCUUGGUCUUCAAAACCACCCUGUGUGGGAGGGGCUCUCGGUGUCCCAUGUCACAGACAAGGACCCACACAAAAUGCUAACUGCACUCCAGGAUCAGAGUCAGUAUAAGUAGCGGAUGAGGAACCCUCUCCAGGCACCUGGGCCUUCCUUGACCUCUGGUUAUGCUGAUCCCAGGAGGGAGGGCUCAGCUAUCAGAAAGUGUGUACACUGAAUAAAACAUUUCUGACUACUUAGUUUCUUUACUCAUUGCUGGAACGGAGCGCUUGACAAAGGCACCUUAAAGGGGGAAGGAAUUGCUUUGAAUCACGGUUUGAAGAUAGCGUCCAUGGCUGUAGGAGCUGGAGGCAGCCGCUCUCCGGGCGUCUGCAGUCAGGAAUCACAGAGAGAUGGAAGCUAGUGCUCGGCUUGCUUUCUCCUUGUUAUUCAGUCUGGGCCCCAGCCCAUGGGAUGGUUCUGUUCGGUUGGGGUAGAUCUUUCCUGUCAAUGAAUCCUGUCUGGAAAUUUCCUCAUAGCAUGCCCAGAAGUUUGUCUCCUAUGUGAUUUUACAGCUUCCCCCUUUGAUAAUAUUAACUACCACAAGGUUCAUCAGGCAAGUCACCCUGAACACACCGACCUGCCGCAACAUCAAACACAUCUGACCAGCUUCAUAAGAGGCCCCACAUGCCCUUCCAGAUUUUCAGGGGCUUACAGAAGAGAGACUGGGAAGAUGCUGGCUUCAUGACGACACAUGGAAAAGCGUGAUGGUGUGGGGAGAGGGCUGUCACAAGAAAGCAUUUGCUGAUAUAAAUUUAUAAAUUUUCAAAAUGA